RNAcentral lists this ribosomal RNA (253 nucleotides) under uncultured bacterium. RNAcentral's name for it is "partial 16S ribosomal RNA". It matches the Rfam family "Bacterial small subunit ribosomal RNA", at positions 524 to 776 of the family's 1533-position model. The record is from RNAcentral.
UACGGAGGGGGCUAGCGUUGUUCGGAAUUACUGGGCGUAAAGCGCACGUAGGCGGCUUUGUAAGUUAGAGGUGAAAGCCCGGAGCUCAACUCCGGAAUUGCCUUUAAGACUGCAUCGCUCGAAUCAUGGAGAGGUGAGUGGAAUUCCGAGUGUAGAGGUGAAAUUCGUAGAUAUUCGGAAGAACACCAGUGGCGAAGGCGGCUAUCUGGACGGUUUCUGACACUAAGACUCGAAAGCGUGGGGAGCAAACAGG